RNAcentral lists this ribosomal RNA (253 nucleotides) under uncultured prokaryote. RNAcentral's name for it is "partial 16S ribosomal RNA". It matches the Rfam family "Bacterial small subunit ribosomal RNA", at positions 524 to 776 of the family's 1533-position model. The record is from RNAcentral.
UGCGGAGGGGGCGAGCGUUGUCCGAAGUUACUGGGCGUAAAGCGCGUGUAGGCGGUCCGGUAAGUCCGCUGUGAAAGUCGGGGGCUCAACCCUCGGAUGCCGGUGGAUACUGUCGGGCUUGAGUACGGAAGAGGCGAGUGGAAUUCCGGGUGUAGCGGUGGAAUGCGUAGAGAUCCGGAAGAACACCGGUGGCGAAGGCGGCCCGCUGGGCAGUAGCUGACGCUGAGGCGCGACAGCGUGGGGAGCAAACAGG